Molecule: long non-coding RNA, 1095 nt
Filed under: Equus caballus (horse)
Lineage: Eukaryota; Metazoa; Chordata; Mammalia; Perissodactyla; Equidae
Description: lncRNA (ENSECAG00000050476.1)
Source: RNAcentral
CUUGGCCACAGACUGAGUGAGGUUGCCCAGGAAACCCCAACCCAGACCAGCAAAAAUUAAAAUAAAAUAAAAAUCUAUUCCUCUAAGCCCCAGUCAACAUACAGGACAGAGUAGACAGUAAGGAAGCCAGAAGAUAGGAGUGAGCCAAUUGGGCAGUUAAGUUCAGACAGAGGUAGCUAGUUAUCAACGCCGAUUUCCUACCAGCAUCUCCUGGAUCUGUCCCCAGAAAUGACGACAAAUGACAAUAAGUGAUUCCAGUGUGCAGCCAAAAUAGAGGAACACUGCGCCAAAUCUGCCAGUGGAAGGAGCCUGUGAGGGAGUAGGGAGCAGACAAGAGGGAGGCCCCGAGAGACAGCGCACUAGAAACGUGUGGUUUUAUCUCAUGCACGACUUCCAUGGCCAACAUUUACUCCACUGAGAGCUUCUAACUCCACUCCGCCCUCGUGGGUGGAGCAGCGUUGCACCCAGGCUGGCUCACCUUAUGGUCCCAGCAUGGCCACAGAAGCUCUAGGACUCAAACCCGACUCAGCAAGGUGAAGAGGAAGAGGGAAUGUCUCUUCACUGCUUACUUAGGAGCAGUAAACAGUUCUCAAAAUCCACCCUGCAGGGUGACCCUCACAUCACAGUGGCUCCAGCUGUGUCACAUUUCCCAUUUCUAAUCCAAACACUGGCGAAGGGGUUACCCUGUUUGGUGUUGGUUACUCAGGAUCCUCCUCUUGGAGCUGGAAAUAAGGCAUUUGUCAAGAUCCUGGGGACGUGUCACAGUGCUAAGAUGCUGGGAGAGAGACCCACCUGGUCUUCAGUCGUCCAUCCACACUUGUGGCUGCUGACAAACUGCCGUUUCUAUUUGUGUUUCCCCUUCAGCCGCAUGGAUUCCUCUCUCGCCUUAGAGCACAGAAUCUGGAAGAAUCUAUACAGAUAGCUACUCUUCUACUUCCAGAGGCAGCUACAUAAUUUGCAGGAAAAAAAUGUCCAUUAAAGGUCCUAAAUAUAAAGCUUUUUCCUUUUUUUCUGCUCUCUCAACUUGCCAUAGUGUAUUUUAUUUGCCACUUAAUACUAAUCUAAAUAAAGAAAAAUUAAAAUAUUAAAUAAUUA